RNAcentral lists this ribosomal RNA (253 nucleotides) under uncultured bacterium. RNAcentral's name for it is "partial 16S ribosomal RNA". It matches the Rfam family "Bacterial small subunit ribosomal RNA", at positions 524 to 776 of the family's 1533-position model. The record is from RNAcentral.
UACGUAGGAUGCAAGCGUUGUCCGUAUUUAUUGGGUUUAAAGGGUGCGUAGACGGCUUAUUAAGUUAGUGGUGAAAACAUUCGGCUUAACCGGAUACCCGCCAUUGAUACUGAUAGACUUGAGUGCGACAGUGGGUGUUGGAAUGUGUGGUGUAGCGGUGAAAUGCUUAGAUAUCACGCAGAACACCAAUUGCGAAGGCAGAUGCCUAUGUCGUAACUGACGCUGAGGAACGAAAGCGUGGGGAGCAAACAGG